GGGCCCAUCCCGUAAGGCUAAAUACUCCCGAGAGACCGAUAGCGAACCAGUACCGUGAGGGAAAGGUGAAAAGAACCCCGAGCAGGGGAGUGAAAUAGACCCUGAACCCGUCUGCCUACAAGCGGUCGGAGCGUCGUAAUGACGUGACGGCGUGCCUUUUGCAUAAUGAACCUACGAGUUACCUUCCCCGGCAAGGUUAAGUUCUUGAGGAACGGAGCCGAAGCGAAAGCGAGUCUGAACAGGGCGCCAAGUCGGGGGGGGUAGACGCGAAACCGAGUGAUCUACCCUUGGCCAGGUUGAAGGUUGGGUAACACCAACUGGAGGACCGGAUGGGUAAGCGUUGAAAAGCUUUCCAAUGAGCUGAGGGUAGGGGUGAAAGGCUAAUCAAACUCGGAGAUAGCUCGUACUCCCCGAAAUGCAUUUAGGUGCAGCCUCUUUAUAGUAUAUCGUGAGGUAGAGCGACUGAUUGGAUGCGAGGGCUUCACCGCCUAUCAAGUCCAGAUAAACUCCGAAUGCGCGAUAUAUAUUUACAGGGAGUGAGGGCGCGGGUGCUAAGGUCCGUGUCCGAGAGGAGAAGAAUCCAGACCACCGGCUAAGGCCCCCAAAUGAUCGUUAAGUUGAACUAACGAGGUCGGAUCGCAGAGACAGCUAGGAUGUUGGCUUGGAAGCAGCCAUUCAUUUAAAGAGUGCGUAACAGCUCACUAGUCGAGCGAUCUGGCGUGGAUAAUAAUCGGGCAUAAACGAUCUGCCGAAGCCGUGGAUGUCGCAAGACAUGGUAGGGGAGCAUUCCAUGCCGCGUCGAAGAUGAGGGAUGACCCUUGUUGGAGCGCAUGGAAAAGCAAAUGUAGGUAUGAGUAACGAUAAGGGGGGCGAGAAACCCCCCCGCCGAAAGACCAAGGUUUCCUGAUCAACGCUAAUCGGAUCAGGGUGAGUCGGGACCUAAGGCAAAGCCGAACGGCGCCGCCGAUGGAAGAAUGGGUUAAUAUUCCCAUACUGCCUCAUGGAGUGACGUGGAGACGGAGAAGUGACAGUCCUGCCGGCUGACGGAAUAGCCGGUUGAAGGGUGUAGAUAUUGAUUCCCGUAGGCAAAUCCGCGGGGAGAGUCGAACCUGAGAGUAUACGGAGCGCUUGCGCAACGUAAUAUGGACGUAACCAUGCUCCCGAGAAAAUCCGCUAAACUUAUCCAUGCGGCACCCGUACCGUAAACGGACACACGUGGUCGGGUUGAGAAUACUGAGGCGCUCGAGUGAUUCACGGUUAAGGAACUAGGCAAAUUGACCCUGUAACUUCGGGAUAAAGGGUCCUCGUCGUAAGGCGAGGCGCAGAGAAUAGGUCCAGGCAACUGUUUAACAAAAACACAUGGCUGUGCUAAAUGGAAACAUGACGUAUACAGCCUGACACCUGCCCGGUGCUGGAAGGUUAAGAGGAGAUGUCAUCGCGAGAGAAGCGUUGAAUUGAAGCCCCAGUAAACGGCGGCCGUAACUAUAACGGUCCUAAGGUAGCGAAAUUCCUUGUCGGGUAAGUUC
RNAcentral lists this ribosomal RNA (1526 nucleotides) under human gut metagenome. RNAcentral describes it as "bacterial LSU rRNA". It matches the Rfam family "Bacterial large subunit ribosomal RNA", at positions 449 to 1983 of the family's 2925-position model. The record is from RNAcentral.